Molecule: ribosomal RNA, 253 nt
Filed under: uncultured bacterium
Lineage: Bacteria
Description: partial 16S ribosomal RNA
Rfam family: Bacterial small subunit ribosomal RNA
Source: RNAcentral
UACGUAGGGUGCAAGCGUUGUCCGGAAUUAUUGGGCGUAAAGAGCUCGUAGGCGGUCUGUCGCGUCGGCUGUGAAAACUCGGGGCUCAACCCCGAGCCUGCAGUCGAUACGGGCAGACUAGAGUUCGGUAGGGGAGACUGGAAUUCCUGGUGUAGCGGUGAAAUGCGCAGAUAUCAGGAGGAACACCAAUGGCGAAGGCAGCUCGCUGGGACGGUACUGACGCUGAGGCGCGAAAGCGUGGGGAGCAAACAGG